RNAcentral lists this ribosomal RNA (125 nucleotides) under Hydnochaete duportii. RNAcentral's name for it is "partial small subunit ribosomal RNA". It matches the Rfam family "Eukaryotic small subunit ribosomal RNA", at positions 1657 to 1779 of the family's 1831-position model. The record is from RNAcentral. Lineage: Eukaryota; Fungi; Basidiomycota; Agaricomycetes; Hymenochaetales; Hymenochaetaceae.
CCUUUGUACACACCGCCCGUCGCUACUACCGAUUGAAUGGCUUAGUGAGGCCUCCGGAUUGGCUUUGGGGAGCCGGCAACGGCACCUCGUUGCUGAGAAGUUGGUCAAACUUGGUCAUUUAGAGG